CGUCCCGGAAACUACGGCCUACGGCAGGCAGCGCCAUUUUGACACUGUUGAAAGUUGGCAUGUAGAAGUGGAAUGUUGAAUAAAAAUUGAAAAUGAAAUGGGGCGCUGGCUUGGCAAGAUAAAAUAUGCUGUUUUAAAGUAGAAAUGUUACAUAUGCAGAUAUAUUAUAUCUAUAUCGGGAAUCCAUAAUCAAUCCCUGGAAUCUAUAUUUAACAUGUAUCCUGGACAACAACUAUGGAAUGGGGAAUGUCCAAUAAAAUUAUGAAAAAUCAAAUAAACAAAUGACCCAUGGUCACAACAAUCAAAUGAAAAAUGACCAUUACAGCUCCACUAUGUAAAUGUAUCCUCGACAACUAAGGAAUGUUAAAAGCAGCAACCACGGUCAAAUCACAGUGUAUGAAUACAUCUAAAUGGAUUUUUGGUUAUUAAGUAAUGCAGACAUGGAGUUUGGUGUGCUGGUUACCACAAAAGCUUUUCUGCUGAAGAUGCAUCUACAGACGUCUUCUUUAUGGAUUCGUAGAAAUACUCUGCUGUAUAGCGUUCAAAAUCUUGAUCUAAUGUAUAAAUGUAGUAAUCUAUAGUCUUGCUAAUAUAUAAUGUUUGUAA
Molecule: long non-coding RNA, 606 nt
Organism: Diabrotica virgifera virgifera (western corn rootworm)
Lineage: Eukaryota; Metazoa; Arthropoda; Insecta; Coleoptera; Chrysomelidae
Exons: 3
Source: RefSeq, a predicted model, not a curated record